AAUAAAGUGCCUGAUUAAAGGAUUAUUCUGAUAGGAUAAAUUAAGUAGAAUUAGUCCUUUAUUA
RNAcentral lists this transfer RNA (64 nucleotides) under Dendrolimus spectabilis (pine moth). RNAcentral's name for it is "tRNA-Ile". Lineage: Eukaryota; Metazoa; Arthropoda; Insecta; Lepidoptera; Lasiocampidae. The record is from RNAcentral.